GCACCGGUAGCUCAGUUGGAUAGAGCAGCUGCCUUCUAAGCCGCAGGUCAGAGGUUCGAAUCCUCUCCGGUGUACCA
RNAcentral lists this transfer RNA (77 nucleotides) under Oligoflexia bacterium. RNAcentral describes it as "tRNA-Arg". It matches the Rfam family "tRNA". From Rfam's summary of the family: Transfer RNA (tRNA) molecules are approximately 80 nucleotides in length. The record is from RNAcentral. Lineage: Bacteria; Pseudomonadati; Bdellovibrionota; Oligoflexia.